Molecule: ribosomal RNA, 429 nt
Filed under: Actinomycetes bacterium
Lineage: Bacteria; Bacillati; Actinomycetota; Actinomycetes
Description: Actinobacteria bacterium partial 16S ribosomal RNA
Rfam family: Bacterial small subunit ribosomal RNA
Source: RNAcentral
UAGGGAAUCUUCCGCAAUGGGCGAAAGCCUGACGGAGCAACGCCGCGUGAGUGAUGAAGGUCUUCGGAUCGUAAAACUCUGUUAUUAGGGAAGAACAAAUGUGUAAGUAACUAUGCACGUCUUGACGGUACCUAAUCAGAAAGCCACGGCUAACUACGUGCCAGCAGCCGCGGUAAUACGUAGGUGGCAAGCGUUAUCCGGAAUUAUUGGGCGUAAAGCGCGCGUAGGCGGUUUUUUAAGUCUGAUGUGAAAGCCAACGGCUCAACCGUGGAGGGUCAUUGGAAACUGGAAAACUUGAGUGCAGAAGAGGAAAGUGGAAUUCCAAGUGUAGCGGUGAAAUGCGCAGAGAUAUGGAGGAAAACCAGUGGCGAAGGCGACUUUCUGGUCUGUAACUGACGCUGAUGUGCGAAAGCGUGGGGAUCAAACAGG